GGAGUUGUGGCUCAGAGGUAGAGCGCUCGCCUCAAACAUGCGAGACCCUGGGUUCGAUUCUCAGCACCA
This 69-nucleotide transfer RNA is filed under the name Ictidomys tridecemlineatus (thirteen-lined ground squirrel). RNAcentral's name for it is "Spermophilus tridecemlineatus (thirteen-lined ground squirrel) tRNA". It matches the Rfam family "tRNA". Rfam says of the family: Transfer RNA (tRNA) molecules are approximately 80 nucleotides in length. Their secondary structure includes four short double-helical elements and three loops (D, anti-codon, and T loops). Lineage: Eukaryota; Metazoa; Chordata; Mammalia; Rodentia; Sciuridae. The record is from Rfam by way of RNAcentral.